ACGUGGUAUCCUGUCUGAAUAUGGGGGGACCAUCCUCCAAGGCUAAAUACUCCUGACUGACCGAUAGUGAACCAGUACCGUGAGGGAAAGGCGAAAAGAACCCCGGCGAGGGGAGUGAAAAAGAACCUGAAACCGUGUACGUACAAGCAGUGGGAGCACGCUUAGGCGUGUGACUGCGUACCUUUUGUAUAAUGGGUCAGCGACUUAUAUUCUGUAGCAAGGUUAACCGAAUAGGGGAGCCGAAGGGAAACCGAGUCUUAACUGGGCGUUAAGUUGCAGGGUAUAGACCCGAAACCCGGUGAUCUAGCCAUGGGCAGGUUGAAGGUUGGGUAACACUAACUGGAGGACCGAACCGACUAAUGUUGAAAAAUUAGCGGAUGACUUGUGGCUGGGGGUGAAAGGCCAAUCAAACCGGGAGAUAGCUGGUUCUCCCCGAAAGCUAUUUAGGUAGCGCCUCGUGAAUUCAUCUCCGGGGGUAGAGCACUGUUUCGGCAAGGGGGUCAUCCCGACUUACCAACCCGAUGCAAACUGCGAAUACCGGAGAAUGUUAUUACGGGAGACACACGGCGGGUGCUAACGUCCGUCGUGAAGAGGGAAACAACCCAGACCGCCAGCUAAGGUCCCAAAGUCAUGGUUAAGUGGGAAACGAUGUGGGAAGGCCCAGACAGCCAGGAUGUUGGCUUAGAAGCAGCCAUCAUUUAAAGAAAGCGUAAUAGCUCACUGGUCGAGUCGGCCUGCGCGGAAGAUGUAACGGGGCUAAACCAUGCACCGAAGCUGCGGCAGCGACGCUUAUGCGUUGUUGGGUAGGGGAGCGUUCUGUAAGCCUGUGAAGGUGUGCUGUGAGGUAUGCUGGAGGUAUCAGAAGUGCGAAUGCUGACAUAAGUAACGAUAAAGCGGGUGAAAAGCCCGCUCGCCGGAAGACCAAGGGUUCCUGUCCAACGUUAAUCGGGGCAGGGUGAGUCGACCCCUAAGGCGAGGCCGAAAGGCGUAGUCGAUGGGAAACAGGUUAAUAUUCCUGUACUUGGUGUUACUGCGAAGGGGGGACGGAGAAGGCUAUGUUGGCCGGGCGACGGUUGUCCCGGUUUAAGCGUGUAGGCUGGUUUUCCAGGCAAAUCCGGAAAAUCAAGGCCGAGGCGUGAUGACGAGGCACUACGGUGCUGAAGCAACAAAUGCCCUGCUUCCAGGAAAAGCCUCUAAGCAUCAGGUAACAUCAAAUCGUACCCCAAACCGACACAGGUGGUCAGGUAGAGAAUACCAAGGCGCUUGAGAGAACUCGGGUGAAGGAACUAGGCAAAAUGGUGCCGUAACUUCGGGAGAAGGCACGCUGAUACGUAGGUGAAGCGACUUGCUCGUGGAGCUGAAAUCAGUCGAAGAUACCAGCUGGCUGCAACUGUUUAUUAAAAACACAGCACUGUGCAAACACGAAAGUGGACGUAUACGGUGUGACGCCUGCCCGGUGCCGGAAGGUUAAUUGAUGGGGUUAGCGCAAGCGAAGCUCUUGAUCGAAGCCCCGGUAAACGGCGGCCGUAACUAUAACGGUCCUAAGGUAGCGAAAUUCCUUGUCGGGUAAGUUCCGACCUGCACGAAUGGCGUAAUGAUGGCCAGGCUGUCUCCACCCGAGACUCAGUGAAAUUGAACUCGCUGUGAAGAUGCAGUGUACCCGCGGCAAGACGGAAAGACCCCGUGAACCUUUACUAUAGCUUGACACUGAACAUUGAGCCUUGAUGUGUAGGAUAGGUGGGAGGCUUUGAAGUGUGGACGCCAGUCUGCAUGGAGCCGACCUUGAAAUACCACCCUUUAAUGUUUGAUGUUCUAACGUGGACCCGUGAUCCGGGUUGCGGACAGUGUCUGGUGGGUAGUUUGACUGGGGCGGUCUCCUCCUAAAGAGUAACGGAGGAGCACGAAGGUUGGCUAAUCCUGGUCGGACAUCAGGAGGUUAGUGCAAUGGCAUAAGCCAGCUUGACUGCGAGCGUGACGGCGCGAGCAGGUGCGAAAGCAGGUCAUAGUGAUCCGGUGGUUCUGAAUGGAAGGGCCAUCGCUCAACGGAUAAAAGGUACUCCGGGGAUAACAGGCUGAUACCGCCCAAGAGUUCAUAUCGACGGCGGUGUUUGGCACCUCGAUGUCGGCUCAUCACAUCCUGGGGCUGAAGUAGGUCCCAAGGGUAUGGCUGUUCGCCAUUUAAAGUGGUACGCGAGCUGGGUUUAGAACGUCGUGAGACAGUUCGGUCCCUAUCUGCCGUGGGCGCUGGAGAACUGAGGGGGGCUGCUCCUAGUACGAGAGGACCGGAGUGGACGCAUCACUGGUGUUCGGGUUGUC
RNAcentral lists this ribosomal RNA (2316 nucleotides) under Shigella flexneri. RNAcentral describes it as "partial 23S ribosomal RNA". It matches the Rfam family "Bacterial large subunit ribosomal RNA", at positions 424 to 2725 of the family's 2925-position model. Lineage: Bacteria; Pseudomonadati; Pseudomonadota; Gammaproteobacteria; Enterobacterales; Enterobacteriaceae. The record is from RNAcentral.